GGGGGGGGGGGGGGGGUGCGGCGGGCGUGGAGGUGGGGCGAGGAGCGGGCGUCGGUCGGUGGCACGUGGCGGGCGGGUGAGUGAUCUGUAGGAAAUCUGCCUGGCGGAGGGGGGCAGCAGAGGGAAACUUCUGCUAAUCCCCCAUCUGAGCGUAGCUGAAGUGCUAUUCUUUGAAACUCCGGUGCCUAAAGAUUCGCCUUCAUAUGAUUAGCCAGUUUGUCGUGUAAUGGCCUACCCAGUCGACGAUCAGUCGCUGGUUUGGGUUGGUGAACAACCAAAAUGGGAAUGAGACCCGGCCCAUACUCCUACGGGAAGGAGCAGUAGGGAAUUUUGCGCAACGGGCGAAAGCCUGACGCAGCAACGCCGCGUGAACGAUUAAGCCCUUCGGGGUGGAAAGUUCUGUCAGUGGGGACGAAACUUGACGGUACCCACAGAGGAAGCACCGGCUAACUCCGUG
Molecule: ribosomal RNA, 457 nt
Filed under: uncultured bacterium
Lineage: Bacteria
Description: partial 16S ribosomal RNA
Rfam family: Bacterial small subunit ribosomal RNA
Source: RNAcentral